RNAcentral lists this long non-coding RNA (480 nucleotides) under Zostera marina. RNAcentral describes it as "long non-coding RNA (ZMAR_LNC004934)". The record is from RNAcentral. Lineage: Eukaryota; Viridiplantae; Streptophyta; Magnoliopsida; Alismatales; Zosteraceae.
CUCCACCUAGGCCGCAAGCCUUUGCGGGAUCAUUGUGAUAAGAUAUAUUCAGGGGUAUAUUUAUAAUAUAACAAUAGUAUUGAUAAUUUAUUGUAAUUUUGUACGAGGAAUUGGUACAAGGGUAUGAUAUUCGACAACAAGGUACGAGAAACUGGUACGAAAGUGUGAUAUAAUUUCAAUCUAUUCGACAACAAGGUACGAGGAAUUGGUACAAGGGUAUGAUAUUCGACAACAAGGUACGAGUAACUGGUACGAAAGUGAUAUAAUGACAAUCUAUUCGACAACAAGGUACGAGGAACUGGUACAAAAGUGUGAUAUAAUUACAAUCUAUUCGACAACAAGGUACGAGGGUAUGAUAUAAUUGCAAUCUAUUCGACAACAGGGUACGAGGAACAGGUAGCCACACCUGCAUCACAAUUAGUAAGUAAGAAUCGCUGCAAUUUAUGAGAAAUACAAACAGAAAUCAUUGGGGAACUUACC